GGCCGGGAGCUGGGUCCCUCCUCCUCACGCGGUGGUUGUUACUCUACCUGCCGGGCCCUCGCGAGGGUGAUGGAUUUUGAGAAUCUUUUCUCCAAACCCCCCAACCCGGCCCUGGGUAAAAAACCGACCACGGACUUUGAUGAAAGAAUCGAUGAUGGAAUAGAUGAUGCAGAAGUUGAAGAAACACAAGAAGAGAAAAGAAAAACACAAGAAGAGAAAAUAAAAUGGGAAGUAAAACUGGAAUGUGAGCAAAUACCCAAAAAAUUUAGGCACUUUGGGAACUCCACAACAUCCCCGAAAAAUUUGCAAUAUAGAAAAUCAAGAAGUAAGGACUAUGAUGUGUAUAGUGAUAAUGAGACCUGCAGUCAGGAAUCAGAAGAUAAUUUUGCUAAAGAGCUUCAGCAGUAUAUACAAGCUAAAGAAAUGGCAAAUGCCGCGCAAUCCUUAUCAUUUCCUGAAGAAUCAAUGAAGAAAGAGGGAGUGAAGGAUACCCAGAAAGCUGUUAAACAAAAAACUAAAAACCCAAAAGCUGUCCAGAAGAAUGGUAAGCAGAAGAAAAUGAAGCGAAAACGGGCUGGUGUGGGCCAGAAAGGAUCCAACACUUCCUUGCGGAACAGAAGCUCACAGGAACAGGAUGAUAAACCUAAGGAGAAGCAGCCGCGUGUGAGAAUGAGUCAGGGAUUCAUCAACCAACAUACAGUGGAACGCAAGGGGAAACAAAUUUGUAAAUAUUUUCUUGAAAGGAAAUGUAUUAAGGGAGACCAGUGUAAAUUUGAUCAUGAUGCAGAGAUAGAGAAGAAAAAGGAAAUGUGUAAAUUUUAUGUACAAGGAUAUUGUACCAGAGGUGAAAACUGCCUAUAUUUGCAUAAUGAAUAUCCUUGCAAGUUUUACCAUACAGGAACAAAGUGUUAUCAGGGUGAAUAUUGCAAGUUUUCACAUUCUCCCCUGACUCCUGAAACACAAGAAUUGUUGGCCAAAGUUUUGGAUACUGAAAAGAAGUCAUCAUGAAAAUAAAAGGCAUAAGAAAGUUUUGUAUAGAUGAAGAAUACUUAUGCCUACGCCCGUUCAAGACUGUUGAUUUGGAGUGGUUUACAAGAGUCCUCAUUUAAAGCGCCCUCUUGUGUCGGUAUGAUGUUGUGCAUCUUCUUUAAUGGAUGGUGUGGAGGGGACAGAAUCUAGUUAUGAGUGAGGGAAUUAGUCUUCACCAAGAUACUCCAGCCGGUGGAACAAGAGGGGAGCAUAUAUGGCAGAGAUGCUGGCUGCCAAAGGCAAGCUGAUAAAUGUGAGUCAAGAAUCAAACCUCCAUUUAUCUGUCCAAAGUUCAUGUUUCUCCCCUGACCACCUUCUUCACUGAAGACAGUUUUCUUUCAGGCAUGGAGCAGUAACUGGGAAGGAAGAGGUAUAUUUAAAGGAAAGGAGAAAAUGUAUAUUUUGGGUCUGCAGGGAUAAGAUGCCCAACUCAAUUCAAAGUGGGGUUGAUUCCCAUAAAAUUUGUAACACUCUCCACAUGAUUUAAAAAUAAAGUAAGAAAAAAGGGCAUAUCUUUAGUUGCUAUGUGUCAUUCUGGGAUAUGUGUUUAUUUUCAUAGUUAGUAUCUCUGUAUUUGGAAUGUAUUUUACAGUUGAUGGAAUAUCACAUUUUACUCAGCAGGUUGUUUUUUCUUACUGGUGCAUAAAAAAUGAUGGAUCUUACUGAUAAGUUAGUGACAUUUAGAUUUGAUUGAAUGUAAUUUUUAAAUUGAAUUUAUGUAUGUAUAUAGUCAAAAGUUUACUGUGAGAUAAACUUAUGAAAUUUAUUUUGGAUUAAUAAAUUAUGAAAACAUAAGA
Molecule: RNA transcript, 1826 nt
Organism: Lontra canadensis (Northern American river otter)
Lineage: Eukaryota; Metazoa; Chordata; Mammalia; Carnivora; Mustelidae
Gene: ZC3H8
Gene name: zinc finger CCCH-type containing 8
Exons: 10
Source: RefSeq, a predicted model, not a curated record